CAAUAGCGUAUAUUAAAGUUGUUGCGGUAAAAAAGCUCGUAGUUGGAUUUCUACCGAAGAUAGCCGGUCGGGUCUUCGACCUUGUAUCUGGUUUUGUCUUUGGUAUCCUCAUAGGGAACGUUUCUGCGCUUUAUUGCGUGGUGCGGUAUCUAUGACUUUUACUUUGAGGAAAUUAGAGUGUUCACGGCAGGCAAACGCCUUGAAUAUAUUAGCAUGGAAUAACAACAUAGGAUCUUCGUCCUAUUUUGUUGGUUUCUAGGGCUAAGAUAAUGAUUAAUAGGGAUAAUUGGGGGCAUCUGUAUCAACGCGUCAGAGGUGGAAUUCUUGGAUUGCGUUGCGACAAACUACUGCGAAAGCAUUUGCCAAGGAUGUUUUCAUUGA
RNAcentral lists this ribosomal RNA (381 nucleotides) under uncultured eukaryote. Its description in RNAcentral is "partial 18S ribosomal RNA". It matches the Rfam family "Eukaryotic small subunit ribosomal RNA", at positions 592 to 976 of the family's 1831-position model. The record is from RNAcentral.